This 4159-nucleotide long non-coding RNA is filed under the name Homo sapiens (human). Its description in RNAcentral is "HSALNT0234998". Lineage: Eukaryota; Metazoa; Chordata; Mammalia; Primates; Hominidae. The record is from RNAcentral.
UUACGAGGAUGUCUAAGACAUGGGAACUAGGACGAUUGUUUUCAAUAUUAUGCUUCUUUAAAAGGCUGUUUUAGCUGUUUAAGCAAUCCAGGCAAAGAUAAGGUGCUGAGUUCUAUGAAGAGAACACAGAGAGAUUAAUUCCAGAGAUACGUCAGGGGUGAGGACGACCUCACCUAACAGGUGACUGUCAUGCCUGUGAGAAAAUACCUUUUCCAAAUGGUGCCGUCCACUUCUAUCUCUCCACGGAAGGAUGGUGAAGUCUUCCACCUGGAGCUCCUGAGAGAACAGUGGGCUUAGUGGAAACACCACACACCUGGCUGGGUGUUUUCAGGUGGAGACGCUGAGGGCUGUUUCUUUCCAGUCCUGGAAGACGCGGAAUUUCUUCUCGGCAGCUUUGCUCGGCCUGCGUCUGAGCGAUGAGGAAACUGAGACACAAAAAUGGGGGAUGACUUGCCCAGGAAGCUGGACCACAUCACACAACGUUACUAUUGUAAUACCUUUAUCAAGAGUACCUCACAUGGCAACAAUGGGAGAAAAAUCAUACAGCUGGCUGCGUCAGGGAGAAAAGGAAGGGUGCCCCGGAGGCCACGGGAGACCAAGACAAUCCCUCUGUGGCUCAGAGUCUGAAUCCUUGUAUCAAGGUUGCUUCUGAGGGCCCCGAACAAGACAAGCACCAGCACUCCAAAGGACUGGCAGAGCUCAACUCCAAAGUCAUAAGAGGACGGCAGCGAUGGACUACCAGGUCUAGGAAAGGCCCCAGAGAUUUGCUUGAAGAACACAUUUCAGGUAGACAGAGUCCUUGGUUAAUUCCUGGCCCUUUCAAAAACUCAAUGACCCUGUACUUUUCGAAGCUGAGGUGGGAGGAUUGUUCGAAGUCAGGAGUUCAGGACCAGCCUGGGCAACAUACUGAGACCCCAUCUCUACAAAAAAUUUAAAAAAUAGCUGGGCAUGAAGGUAUGCGGCUGUAGUCCUAGCUACUUAGGAAGCUGAGGUGGGAGGAUUGCUUGAGCCCGGGAGUCUGGGGCUGCAGUGAGCUAUAAUUGCACCACUGUGCACUCCAGCCUGGGUGCUGGGUGACAGAGUGAGACCUUGUCUCUAAAAAUAAAGAAAGAUAGAGAAAGAGAAAAAAAAUGAGAGAAAGAGAUAAAAAGAAAGAAAUGUUUUAAAUGUCAAAAAAGAAGGAAAGAAAGAAAGAAGGAAAGAAAGAGAAAGAAAGAAAAUUUUUAAAUGUUAAAGACCUAAUUUAAUUAGAUGCCUUCAGUUUCACAGAUGGAGCAAAUGGGCUCAGAAAGACUAGUGACAUUUUCUCAAAAAUAGGGACACCCAUUUCUCUUCCUGGUUUUGCCAGCUUCCUUUCAAGCUCUUUCUAUUUCCCAAAGAAGAAGCUGGAAUCACCCAAUAUAGCCCUCUGACAUUGCUGACUAAUGGGUACUGUCUGAAGCAUUAUCGUAGCAGUAAUGAUAAUAACAUGUCCCUAAAGGGCACUUAUACCCUGUGCCUGGCACUGUACAAAGCACUUUACAUGCACUGACCCCAUCUUCAAUGUCACGUGAUACAGUAGCUUUACCAUCCCUGCUUUACAUAUGAUGAAACAAAACACAGAGAGGUUAGCUGACUUCCCCAGGGACACACAGCAAGGAAGCGGGAAACAGAACUCAUACCCACGCAGCCUGGCUCCAGAUCUCACACUCUGGAGCCCAUGCAAGCCAUAACUGAUCUAGAAUAAAACACAAACCGAGGGAGUCCAUUUUUAACUAGCCCUUCCUAGAUGCACCCUCAGAUACAGCUAGCCAAAGACCAGGUACCAACCUGCAUCUUCACUGGAUGGGUGGGUUAACCUCAGAAGUUAUCCGAGGUUAGUCAGUGGUUCAAGAUCUCUUGGUUCCAACCUCUUUGCUCUAGAAACACAUCUGGAGAGAUUUCUUGCACAUUUUCCACUACUUCCUGGUUUAUUCCAGAUAGAAAAACUUAUGAAUAUGGAAGGUAAUAAGCUUUGCCCCUUAUGUCUGCUAAAAUUUACCUGCCCAGAAACGGGGGUGGGAAUUAACAUCACAAAGCCCACCUGGCAUCUUUUAGAGAUGCAUUCAAGCUGCUUCUCAUUUCAUCCACAUCUUUCCACCCACGGCCGGUGAAGAACAUGAAGAACACGACGUGGUACAUUUUUAAACCGUCCGAUCCUGUAAUCAGCCAAUAAUAUGUGUUCACUUGAAGCCCGCCCAACACACUGGCCAGGCUUUCAUCAUCAUUCCCAAUCACCAAGCAGACUGCCCAGGCGGCCACUACCUCUCAGGAAGGCUUCUGGGACAAUCUCAAGGCGAUGUGUGAACUCGGGAAUCUUGUAAGCAUUUUGCUCACGCAACUUGGCUUUCUUUGGAACUUGAAGCUUGCUUCUGUUCAACUGAAAUCAAAAUUGCCUGUCAUGGAGAUGUGCUUGCAGGCUGUGACUGCGGCUCCACACUGGAACUUUUAGCUACAACCCCCACAAACACUGACUGAGAAUACUGAAUGGGGUGCUGGGGUGAACAGAGGAAAACUUUGGAUGCUGAGAAAAUGAUGCAAGCUCAGUGACCUCCCAUUCAACUGGAGGGGGUCUGUGGGGAUCAGAAGAAGCAAGGCUUCACUGGUUUCCAUUUUCCUGAGCUAACGGCCACAAGCUUAUUCCAAUGGACCCUUGUGAUUUGAGAUAGUUUGUGCUGGCUGCAUUUGGAGCUCCAGCUUCCGUGGGAGUUGGAGCGGAAAGAACACUGAAAUGUCCUCUUCUUGCUGGGAGCCGUGGACACCUCUUCUGGAGAAGGAUGAAGAAACUGAGGCACAGGGAUGUGAAGUAACUGGCCCAAGUGGGUGACAAAGCUGGGAUCGGAACCAGCAGGUAUUCACGAUUGUGAUGCAACCAGCCUCGGAGACACCCUGAGAAACGCCGCCUAAUGGAAUCCAUCCCUCGGGACAGAAGCCGCCGGUCUUCCCUGACCGCACCCACUCGCCCCACAGAGCACCCCCUCCUUGUCAAAGCCGGCGACUCUGCAGGCUUCUGGUGCAGACAAUGUGGCCACCAGAUGCACGGCACCCAGCUUGCGGGGAUGCCGGGCAAAUGUUAUUACAGCGAUAACAGUGAUUCUGCUUAGGAUAACAAUGAUGGAAAUCUGUAUUAAAUGACUUGAAACUGCUGAUGCCUUUCCUUUUCCCCAAAGAGAAGAAAGGGAUGCGAAUGUGUCACUUGAACUGGCUGCUGCGGUUCAUCUGGACUCCAUCGUUCCUGCCAUCAUCUUUAUUAGUAGCAUUGUUUUAAAAAAAUGAGUAAGUUUGAAACCACCAGGUGUUUUGAAUUUUUAUCUUGUUCACUUGCUUACAUGAGGAAAUUCAAAUGGAGACCAAUGCAUUAGUAAAAGCCCAGUGGAAGGAGAGUGCCCCUUCUCUCCCGGGUGGGGGGCUCCCUGCCCUCCCUGACAGGCUCCCCCUAGUUCUGGGUUCUGGCUGCAGUUCCAGCCCCGACCACCAGGAGUUGAUCUCGGGAGCGUUAUCUGCGCAGCUCCUUCCCAGUCCUCCUCUGAGUCCUCCGUGACUUCAAGCAGCCACACGCCUCCUUCUCCCUCCCUGUUAAUCCCCACCGAAAGCAGGCUUGGUGUGGCCGCUCCCCAGACUCACAGGCCCUUCCUGGUUAUUUCUGCAGAAUCCACUCUCCCUGUCAGUCUGGGAAAGAAAGCAGAGAGAGAAAAAGAGCUGUAGCGUCAAGGGGACUGCCAGAUCCCGCAGCAAUCCUCCGUGCUCCAGGGUCUCCUUCGGGCGCCUUGCAAUCUCAGCGCCAGCUACUGAACACCUAGAGUAUUGUUCAGUGGAGGAUGCCAAGGGAGGCCUCGAGCCUGAAUUAGCCCCGUGAAAGGGGUCUUGCUCCCCCGCUCAUACGCUGAGGUCCAGGGAGCAUAGGCAGCUUCCCCAGGGCGACCAUAAGGGCCCGCACGCAAUGUGGUGACCCCCUUUCCCUCUGUCGUUUGGCCACCUCAGCUAUUACAACAGGAAGCCAUUGGCCGGGCGCGGUGGCUCACGCCUGUAAUCCCAGCGCUUUGGGAGGCCUAGGCGGGCAGAUCACGAGGUCAGGAGAUCAAGACCACCCUGGCUAACACGGUGAAACCCCGUCUCUACUGAAAAAAAAAAAAAAAAAAAA